CUGCUGGUAAAGGUCAUUACGUAUUACUUUACUUACCGGAGGAAAAGAAACCAACAGGGAUUGCCUUAGUAACGGCGAGUGAAGCGGCAACAGCUCAAAUUUGAAAUCUGGCUCCUUCGGGGUCCGAGUUGUAAUUUGUAGAGGAUGCUUCGAGUUAUGGUUCCUUCCGAGUUCCCUGGAACGGGACGCCAUAGAGGGUGAGAGCCCCGUCUGGUAGGAAACCAUGCUCAUGUGAAGCUCCCUCGACGAGUCGAGUAGUUUGGGAAUGCUGCUCUAAAUGGGAGGUAUACUCCUUCCAAGGCUAAAUACCGGUUAGAGACCGAUAGCGCACAAGUAGAGUGAUCGAAAGAUGAAAAGCACUUUGAAAAGAGAGUCAAACAGCACGUGAAAUUGUUAAAAGGGAAGCGCUCGCUACCAGACGUGGGUUCGGUGGUUCAACCAGGUCCAUGACCUGGGGCACUCCGCCGGCCCAGGCCAGCAUCAGUUUCCGUCGGGGGCAAAGGCGUCGGGAAUGUGGCUCUCCUUCGGGGGAGUGUUAUAGCCCGUCGCGUCAUACCCUUCGGGGGGCUGAGGUACGCGCUCCGCAAGGAUGCUGGCGUAAUGGUAGCUAGUGACCCGUCUUGAAACACGGACCAAGGAGUCAACCUUAUGUGCGAGUGCCCGGGCGUAAAACCCCAGCGCGGAAUGAAAGUGAACGUAGGUGAGAGCUUCGGCGCAUCACCGACCGAUCCUGAUGUCCUCGGACGGAUUUGAGUGAGAGCAUAUAGGGUUGGACCCGAAAGAAGAUGAACUAUGCGUGUGUAGGGUGAAGCCAGAGGAAACUCUGGUGGAGGCUCGCAGCGGUUCUGACGUGCAAAUCGAUCGUCAAACAUGGCAUGGGGGCGAAAGACUAAUCGAAUCUUCUGGUAGCUGGUUUCCGCCGAAGUUUCCCUCAGGAUAGCAGUGUUGAUCCCAGUUUUAUGAGGUAAAGCGAAUGAUUAGGGACUCGGGGG
This 992-nucleotide ribosomal RNA is filed under the name Verticillium dahliae. RNAcentral's name for it is "LSU rRNA". It matches the Rfam family "Eukaryotic large subunit ribosomal RNA", at positions 1 to 1035 of the family's 3401-position model. The record is from RNAcentral. Lineage: Eukaryota; Fungi; Ascomycota; Sordariomycetes; Glomerellales; Plectosphaerellaceae.